Molecule: long non-coding RNA, 375 nt
Filed under: Nicotiana benthamiana
Lineage: Eukaryota; Viridiplantae; Streptophyta; Magnoliopsida; Solanales; Solanaceae
Description: long non-coding RNA (NBEN_LNC002923)
Source: RNAcentral
UGGCUUGACCAAAACUUAAAUAUGUAAGAUGUAUAAUUAAACAGAAGCAAAAUCGGAAAUUAGCAAAGAAAUUUUAGAAGUUUAUAUAGUUUAGGAGAUGGAAUUAAAUGGAGUUUGUGAAAGUGUUGGAUUUGCAGGCAAGAACGGCUGUCAAAAGACUUUUUGCUUUGGGUUUUUGGGCUUCCCUUAUUGACUUUGUUGUCUUUAUUGUAUAGUAUUUCUUUAAUUAUUGUUUGUACUAAUGUUACAGCCAGUCAGAUGGGACUACUUGUUUUUUUCUUUCUUUUACUACAGCUGUGUUUCCGUUUUGUUUCCUUUUCUAACAGUGAAAAUAUUUAAUUUAAGUGGUAAAAUGAAAAGGAAAGUUUAAGGAAU